UAUAUGCACACACUCUCACACGCACAAAUGCAAACACUCAUUCCAUGACAUACAGUCUCUCACACUAAUAUACACACACACUCACACACACAGUCUCUCACACUAAUAUACGCGCACACUCACACAUGCACAGUUACUCCAUGACACACAGUCUCUCACACUAAUAUACACACACACUGGCACACACAGUCUCUCACACUAAUAUACACACACACUCACACACGCACAGUUACUCC
Non-coding RNA from Pelobates cultripes (western spadefoot toad), 236 nucleotides. The record is from the annotation of a GenBank genome assembly. NCBI's taxonomy places the organism in Eukaryota, Metazoa, Chordata, Amphibia, Anura, Pelobatidae.